This 964-nucleotide non-coding RNA is filed under the name Nephrurus amyae. Its description in RNAcentral is "12S rRNA". It matches the Rfam family "Bacterial small subunit ribosomal RNA". Lineage: Eukaryota; Metazoa; Chordata; Lepidosauria; Squamata; Carphodactylidae. The record is from RNAcentral.
ACCGCCUUGGUCCCCAACCUACUAUUACCCCCCUAUUAAAAUCAUACAUGCAAGCCUCCACACCCCAGUGCCAACGCCCAUGCGGAGCAGGUAUCAGGUACACUUCUGAAGUAGCCAAAGACGCCUAGCCCAGCCACACCCCCACGGGACUCAGCAGUAGUUAACAUUAAGCAAUAAGCGCCCAACCCUCGCCCCUUACCAAGCUUGACUUAGUUAUAAUCUCACCAGGGUCGGUAAAUUUCGUGCCAGCCACCGCGGUUAUACGAAAGACCCCUGAUAAUAGUAAUUCGGCGUAAAGCGUGACUAGAACAACACCCAAAUAAGAAACCUAAACACCUGCCAAGUUAUAAAACACACCCGACACCCUUGAAAACCCUAAACGUUUCACAAAUCGGCACCCUUUGACUCACGAAAACCAAGAUACAAACUAGGAUUAGAUACCCUACUAUGCUUGGCCGUAACCCUAGACACAACCACCACUACCAAUGUCCGCCAGAGAACUACUAGCGAAAAGCUAAAAACUCAAAAGACUUGACGGUGUCCCAUAUCACCCUAGAGGAGCCUGUCCAAUAAUCGAUGCCCCACGAACAACCUUACCCACCCUAGCCACUUCACUAUUUUACCAGCCUAUAUACCGCCGUCGCCAGCUUACCUUUCAAAAGACCACAAGUAAGCGCAAGGGUCCCCCCCCCCAAUACGUCAGGUCAAGGUGUAGCUCAUGGGUGGGACUGAGAUGAGCUACAUUUUCUAAAAAGAAAACACCAACCCUGCUCUGAACAAAACAGAUUAAAGGUGGAUUUAGAAGUAAGCCAGGUCAGACAGCCUGACUGAAAACCGCCCUGGGACGCGUACACACCGCCCGUCACCCUCCUCAGCCCCCAACUAACCUUAACAUAUAACCACCCCCCCGCACAGAUGAGGUAAGUCGUAACAUGGUAAGCGCACCGGAAGGUGUGCUUGGACU